CCAGAGGGUUAAUGGUAAUUAUGACUACUUGUGUCAUUUAUGAUGUUGAUUUGAAUUACUUUCUGGAUGAGUAAGUUUAAGUAUUUAUGGAAAAUUGACCAUUUAAGUGAAAUUAUUGAACUUAAAUAUACAAGCUUGAUAAAAAUUAUCAUUCUAGAAGAAAAUUUCAGAUGGCACUUAGAGGCUUUUGCACAUGAACUCUUCAUGAAUUAAUCAUGUUGAUAGGCCCUAUAAAACAAAUAUUUCAUAUUAAUCAUGUAAAUUUCCUGCACCUGUUAUAGACAUCCAAAUGACGUCCAAAAAAAUUACUCCGUUCAAAGGUCAAAUGUUGAACGUCAAGAUGACGUCCAAGUUGGGUCAUGGUUGGACGUCCAAAUAGUGGACCUAGUUUGGACGUCGAAUAGAUGUUCAGAAAUGGUAAUGGACCGACGGACUACUUAAUACUUUCUCUGACUUAAUGGGUUCUUAUUUAUGCUGCAUUCUUCUAAUUGUUGAGAUGGUAUUGUACAUAAAUCAGAGCCUUAACUUUGGUUUUAUACCAUGAAAAUAAUUGUUCUUUUUUUUUUUUUUUCAGUGUCGAUUGCCAUCUGAUUGUUGUAAGUGAUCAAUCUAACAGCCAUCCUCAAAGCCUGAUUUGCCUAAUAAAUCAAUACAUAUUAAUGUGUACAUGUUUAUUCUUUCUCUCUCUCUCUCUCUCUUUGCUUGUGGGCAGCUAAAAAAAAAAACCAAAGGCUCUUUUAAGAGCCAUUCCACCUCUUAAGUGUCUUUGGCUAUUUUGCUUUUGUGUCAGCAGCAGCGAAACAAACCUCCCAAAGCUCUUUUAAGAGACAUUCAACUGUUAACCAUCUUUAGCUAUCCUCUGCUGUGAUUUAUUUUCUUCCUACCAUCCUUUAAUUUAAGAUAUAUUCAGAAGUGUUUAUCUCCAGGUAACAUGUCCAGUUACUGGAGUAAACGCAGAAAAAUUCAAAGAGGAGUUGAGCAAGAUUUGCAAAAACUCCAGUCAGCAUCUGUAGAAACAGAUGAUGAAAUAACGGAGGAGAGACUUGACUGCCACAACAUAAGCAAUUUUGAGGAAGUGGCUCUUACAACACCAGAGUCCAACAAUAGAGUGGAGUCAGUAUAUGAUUGCACACUAAGCAGUGAGGGAGGAGCUAGUGAGAGCUUUGCUGGGAACACAGAGGACAGCAAUGAUGAAAGCACAGAUGAGGAGGAUAAUAUCAGAGCAUUACUUUCUGAUUGGGCUGUCAGGAAACAAAUUCCACAUUCAUCACUGACUGAACUACUCAAGAUUUUGUGCAACAAAUUACCUGAAUUAGGCCUUCCUAAAGAUUCACGGACUUUGCUGAAAACAAAAUCAGUGGUGGAAAUAAAAGAAGUCUCUGGGGGGGACUUAUUUUCAUGCUGGCAUUGAACACGGUCUGUUGUCCCACCUCACAACAUCAGUUCAUCCAAUGUGUCAGUCAGUGUCCCUGCAAGUCAAUAUAGAUGGCCUUCCUCUAUACAAGAGCUCAAACUCUCAAUUCUGGACUAUUUUAGGCCUUGUAGAAAACUACAAUGAUGGGGUCCAGACAAACAAGUUGCCAUUCUCAUUGGGAUGUUUUUUGGGGAGAAAAAACCAGCCAGUCUUGAUUUCCUACAAGACUUUGUUGAGGAAAUGCAGCAUCUUGAAAAAGAAGGUUUCUUUUUUGAAGACAGAAAUAUUAGGGUCCAGAUCUCUGCCAUUGUUUGUGAUGUACCUGCAAGGGCCUUCAUCAGAAAUUCUAAGGGUCACAAUGGGUACUAUGGAUGUGACAAAUGCUGUCAAAAGGGAGUUUACCACAAUAACCGUAUGAUCUUGCCAGAAACAGCAGUCUAUCUAAGAUCCAACCAUGACCAUUUUGAUUCUCUUUCUGAGGACUCGCACUACAGUGGGAAAACGCCUUUAGAAUCACUGUCCAUUGGUUUGGUGACAUCAUUUCCUCUUGACUACAUGCACCUUGUAUGUUACACGUAAACUCAUCUCUCUAUGGCAGGAAGGGCCACUGAAGACUCGUUUAGGUCCAGCGUUUGUCAGAAAUGUCUCUUCACAACUGACAGAGCUACGACCUCAUGCGCCAUCAGAAAUGAUCAGAAAAACCGAGAUCUGUAAUCGAGUCAGACCGCUGGAAGGCUACUGAAUUUCGUACAUUCCUCUUGUACACUGCACCAGUCUGUUUGAAAGGAAAUAUUCCAAAGGCGAUGUAUGAAAACUUCAUGCUGCUUUCAGUUGCUAUGACCAUCUUUCUAAGUCAAUCCUUGUGUGCAGACUAUGCUGGAAACCUCCUGGUUUUGUUUGUGGACCACUGCAGCAGACUGUAUGGAAAAGAAACCAUGACUUACAACAUGCAUUGCUUGACUCUUUUUAUUCAUGAUGUACAAGCAUUUGGGGUACUUGACAACAUGUCUUGUUUUCCCUUUGAGAAUUUCCUUGGCCAAAUUAAACGAAUGAUGAGAAAACCAAACAAACCUUUAGCACAAGUCAUACGAAGACUGUCAGAAAAAGAGACCAUGUGAACAAUGCAGUCAGAUGCAGAGAAGACACUACAAAGACCACAUGACAACGGCCCAGUCCCAAAUGGUCUAAAUGUGAAAGAGCAGUAUGCAAAAAUGCAGUUCGCUCACUUCUCUGUGCAGAUUUGCACUGGGAAUAACUGUGUCCAGCUGAAAAACACAGAUGUUGUUGUUGUGUAAAACCUGGUGGUCGAGGAACACGGAGAAACCUUAAUCGUGUACAAAAGAUUUAGGAACAAGACAGAUCUUUUUGUCUAUCCCCUACCAUCAUCACAGCUAGACAUUUUCUUGCUCUCUGGAUUGAAGGAUGAACUCCUUUUUACCCAAGCCACAAAUGUGCUACGGAAGUUUGUGUUACUUCCAUGCAAAGAGGACUUUGCUGGCAUGCCAUUACUCCAUUUGUAGGAUGUGAGGCACCUGUAAAAUAAAAAAAAAAUAAGAGUUUAACAAUUUCUGUAAAAAGUUCAAUGUUUGCUGUAGUCAAAUUUCCAAAUGAAGAGGACAGUUUAGCUGUCAUCUCUGAAGCCUGGUGCACCAAGGAGGGAUGCUACUGGCCUCCAUAUAAGACCCAUGAGAGGAUCAAGAGGGCAGUGAUGCUGCAUGAAAAACCAAACAGCGACACAUGGGAGAUACACCCAUUUGAUUUACUAAAAAACGAAAAAUACACAUGACAAGGUCCAUGAAUGCCUGAUUCGGGCCGAAAAGGGCUUCAACAUUGAAACAGAGCCAGAGUCGCAUCAGAGGAAGAGAAAGCGAAAUCCUAAAUUUGACCAGACAGAUUCUGAGGAGUCUGAUGAUGGUGACUAUAGUCAGCUCCCACCACCACCAAAGCCCCCCAAAUUUGCCCCCAAAAGGAUCGUUUGUAAAGCUAAAAAAUUUAUGUGCCAAGUUUACCUGUAAUUUUCAUGAACUGUACAUAUUUACAUUUUGAUAAUUAUCAUUUGCACAAUUUGCAAUAGCAUGCCCAAGAGACAGCUCCCAUCCCUCUGUAUCUCUCUCUGCUGGGGGAGCAGGAUGUAAAGCAGCCUACAGCUCCAAUAAGGCAACAAUACAAAACACCCAGCCCUCUUCUUCAUCACAGAGGUGCCCUGUUUACCAGCCAGAAGAAUCAGAAUCAUCAAGACCAUCUUCCCUAAAUUUUCUGGCUGCAAAUCAAGAAUCAGAAUCAUCAAGACCAUCUUCCCUAAAUUUUCUGGCUGCAAAUCAAGCUCAUACAACCGCUGUAACACCCGCCCCCUGGAGAGCCAGCGAACUUCAGUGUGCAGAAGCAGCUGUUCAUGCCCUGACCCCAUCUCCUGGCAGAGGACCCCAAACAAGCGAGAGUGAUUUGAUUUGAUGAGAUUUAUCAUUUUCAUGGAUUGGUUCAGCACGGAGUCAAAGAGAACCGGCAUUUUUUUAGCAGCUAGUGCUUCGCGAUGGACCAUGCAAUGUGUACAUUUCACAAGUGGAGCUACUUGCUGAACGCGAGCAGCUAGGCCACGCUCACGCCCCGUCAUUGCCUGCGCACCAUCCAUGCAUAGGCCAAUGCAUCGGUCCCAAGCCAAACCAUUUUCACGGAUAAAAAUAUCAAGGACAUUGAAAAUGGCUUCUCCUGUAGUGUGCGACUGAAGAGGCCGGCAAAACAGGACAUCCUCCUCAAUCGCCUUGUCCCGCAGAUACCUGACAUAGGUGAGGAGCUGUGCCUGCCCAGCAAUAUCAGUGGAUUCAUCCAGCUGCAGCGCGUAGUAAGGACUCUUUUUUACGAACUCUAUCAGUUGCUCUCUGAUAUCAUUGGACAUGUCUACAAUUCUCCUACGACUGUGUCAUUGGACAGGGGUAUUGCUCCGAGUUUGGCUGCUGCACUAUCGCCUAUCAUUAUUCUUGCGCUGCUGGCAAAAUGAGAGUCUCUGCGAUUGUAUGCGGUUUACCCAGUUGAGCGAUUCUUUUGGCCACUACAUACAAUGCCUCCAAACACUGUUUAGACACAGUGCUGUGGACUGAAAUGGUUGCCUGUUGCUGAUGGAGGCCAUCAAGCUUUCUUUUAAAAUAUUCAGCCGGUUUAUUUUUAAUGUCAGCAUGCUUUGUUUCGAGGUGCCUUUUUAAUUUGCAGGGCUUCAUACUGUCGUUUGCCAGCACCUCGGCACACAAGACACACUGAGGUCUCAGAUCAGCCAUGACUGUAAACCCAAACUGCAGGUAUACUUCAUCGUACCUUCAAAGCUUUUUUGCUGCUGGUGGUGCGUCGGUUGGCUUGUUGGUCCUCACAAGAAAUUUCUCCAUUUUUGUUAUGUGUUUUCAAUAAAGUUUAGGCAAUAUGUAA
Long non-coding RNA from Megalobrama amblycephala (Wuchang bream), 4828 nucleotides. RefSeq lists it as uncharacterized. NCBI's taxonomy places the organism in Eukaryota, Metazoa, Chordata, Actinopteri, Cypriniformes, Xenocyprididae. The record is from RefSeq and is a predicted model, not a curated record. The transcript has 12 exons.